This 492-nucleotide ribosomal RNA is filed under the name uncultured bacterium. Its description in RNAcentral is "partial 16S ribosomal RNA". It matches the Rfam family "Bacterial small subunit ribosomal RNA", at positions 29 to 507 of the family's 1533-position model. The record is from RNAcentral.
AGUGAACGCUGGCGGUAGGCCUAACACAUGCAAGUCGAACGGCAGCACAGUAAGAGCUUGCUCUUACGGGUGGCGAGUGGCGGACGGGUGAGGAAUACAUCGGAAUCUACUUUUUCGUGGGGGAUAACGUAGGGAAACUUACGCUAAUACCGCAUACGACCUACGGGUGAAAGCAGGGGAUCUUCGGACCUUUCGCGAUUGAAUGAGCCGAUGUCGGAUUAGCUAGUUGGCGGGGUAAAGGCCCACCAAGGCGACGAUCCGUAGCUGGUCUGAGGGGAUGAUCAGCCACACUGGAACUGAGACACGGUCCAGACUCCUACGGGAGGCAGCAGUGGGGAAUAUUGGACAAUGGGCGAAAGCCUGAUCCAGCCAUACCGCGUGGGUGAAGAAGGCCUUCGGGUUGUAAAGCCCUUUUGUUGGGAAAGAAAAGCAGCAGGUUAAUACCCCGCUGUUCUGACGGUACCCAAAGAAUAAGCACCGGCUAACUUCGUG